This 427-nucleotide ribosomal RNA is filed under the name uncultured bacterium. RNAcentral describes it as "bacterial SSU rRNA". It matches the Rfam family "Bacterial small subunit ribosomal RNA", at positions 355 to 774 of the family's 1533-position model. The record is from RNAcentral.
UGGGGAAUUUUGGACAAUGGGCGCAAGCCUGAUCCAGCAAUGCCGCGUGCAGGAUGAAGGCCUUCGGGUUGUAAACUGCUUUUGUACGGAGCGAAAAGGUCUGCCCUAAUACGGUGGGCUCAUGACGGUACCGUAAGAAUAAGCACCGGCUAACUACGUGCCAGCAGCCGCGGUAAUACGUAGGGUGCGAGCGUUAAUCGGAAUUACUGGGCGUAAAGCGUGCGCAGGCGGUUAUAUAAGACAGGUGUGAAAUCCCCGGGCUCAACCUGGGACCUGCAUUUGUGACUGUAUAGCUAGAGUACGGUAGAGGGGGAUGGAAUUCCGCGUGUAGCAGUGAAAUGCGUAGAUAUGCGGAGGAACGCCGAUGGCGAAGGCAAUCCCCUGGACCUGUACUGACGCUCAUGCACGAAAGCGUGGGGAGCAAACA